RNAcentral lists this ribosomal RNA (440 nucleotides) under uncultured bacterium. Its description in RNAcentral is "partial 16S ribosomal RNA". It matches the Rfam family "Bacterial small subunit ribosomal RNA", at positions 338 to 795 of the family's 1533-position model. The record is from RNAcentral.
CCUACGGGGUGCAGCAGUGAGGAAUAUUGGGCAAUGGGGGCAACUCUGACCCAGCCAUGCCGCGUGAGUGAAGAAGGUCUUCGGAUUGUAAAGCUCUUUCGGUCGUGACGAUGAUGACGGUAGCGUCUAAAGAAGCCCCGGCAAACUUCGUGCCAGCAGCCGCGGUAAUACGAAGGGUGCGAGCGUUGUUCGGAAUUACUGGGCGUAAAGGGAGUGUAGGCGGAUAUGUAAGAUAGCGGUGAAAUGCCGCGGCUCAACCCGGGAGCGGCCAUUAAGACUAUGUAUCUAGAGUGAAGGAGAGGAGAGCGGAAUACCCAGUGUAGCGGUGAAAUUCGUAGAUAUUGGGUGGAACACCAGUGGCGAAGGCGGCUAUCUGGGCAGUAACUGACGCUGAGGCUCGAAAGCAUGGGGAUCAAACAGGAUUAGAUACCCUGGUAGUC